UCAAUUUACAGAAUUAAUCGCAAAUUUGAGAAUGUUUUGCUUUAGUAUUCCGAAGCCGUUUUUGCGUGUCUAAUGGGAUGCAUAAACAGUACAAAGAAAUUAAGCGAUUUAAAAGGCGAAAACGUUUUCCGAGCCGUGCGACUUCACUCCGAUUCGACAAACCUAGGACGCACAGGAUUCUUGGAACUAACGCCGAGGGAAUUGAUUUUUUGUACACGGUCAAAUCAACGUGUUGUAUGGGCUUUGCAGCAUCUACGCAGAUAUGGAGUCAAUGGCGAUGUUUUUUCUUUUGAGGCUGGUCGUCGUUGUAUGACCGGCCCUGGAAUUUAUAAAUUUCGUUGUCAACGGGCGGAUCAGUUGUACCAUCUCUUUCAAAGUUACAUAAAUGCAGUGGCACUUGUGACGGACGAAGUAUUUCCGUUUGGUGAGCGUGAGCGUGACCGCGACCGUGAACGUGAUCAUCCAUCACAUAUACUUGGACGAUCAGAAAAUGUACACCCAACAAACAACUAUUUAGAGCCAACACCGGUAGUGGAUACGACAACAGGAAUCUCUGUUUUACAUCGCGCCAGAGCAUUGCGUGAUUCUUUUAGUAGCAGUCCACUAAGUCUGGAUUCUCCAGACUCUGCACCAAGUUUAUCAUUUGCCACUAAUGAAGUAGUACAUAUUCAAAGCCCACGAUAUCCUAGUGGGCGAGGAAUGUAUGUCAACACACCUAAUUCUUCCAAUGCGCUUGCUAAUAGUAAUGUAUACUCGGAGCAUCCUUUGCGGUCACAAGUUGAGCAUAACAACAAUUUAUCAAAUGCUCCCAACAAUGCAUUUAAUACAUUAGCGAAUAAAAAUUUUAUUAAGCAUUCGUCUUUGGAUAUACCUCCUGAAGAAUGUGCACCUAUGUUAACUCCAUCAUCGGAGAUUCUGCACAUGUAUGCAAACGUUGAUAGUGGCACAUUUGGUGCUAGUAAUUUUGGUUUUGGAGGUAUUGGAGAUGUACGGAACGUAGGACGAAAUCAGGAGCGUUGCUAUGAAAAUUUAAACCGGGAAGACUUAAAUAUUAUUCUUCCUCCACAAACUACAUCGUCUGCUAUACCAGGGAGAACAGUUAAUGUGAUAGAUAUGUCCAAGGAUCAGCAGUCGAAUCAGCUAAAAUCAACAGAAACAAAUGCAGUCAAUUAUAUUGUUCUUGACUUAGACCAACCUCGUAGUCCGACCUUGUGUUCUCCUAAGCUACAUGUAGGAAGCGGUUUGUCAUUGCCAACAGUUGAUUGCAUUGAAAGUAUUGAUAGAGGGUGCCCUACAAUUGGCCCUCCUGAUACACCACGAAACAGUGCCACGUCUGCGACAAAGGUACUCACCACUGUGACAACAUCGAUUACAAACACAACGAAGACAACAAAGAAAAUUGAUGGAAGUGCAGAAGAAUUGGAAAAUAAAGAAGAAUCUUCAUUGGGUUACUCAACAAUAGAUUUUAUAAAAACAUGUGCCCUUAUUAAAUCGUCUACACACGGUGCUGAUUUCGAAGCGGAACCUGACAGCGAAGAAUGUCGGAUCACCCGUCAUAGUAAAUGCGUGCGGAAAGCUUACUCGAUUAGUGAGUAGAAUAUCAUGCACCUUAUCAGAUCUAUCAUGUUGGGAGAACUCAAUUCCUGAAAUCAAGAUAAAUGUACCAGCAUUUAGUACAACAUAUUAGAUAUAAGGGACAUGAUGUCGAUUGGAUUUCUUUUGAGAUUUUAAUACACAUAUACUGGCAUGUAUGAGCAGAUUUAGUUGAAGAAAAAGGCGUUUUCUGAGCGGAUAUUUUGUAUUUGUAUAUAUAUGUAUAACAUUUAAAAAAUAGCAUAUUUUUAUUUUGUAGAGCUUUGUAAAUUAAAAUUAUAUUUGCAAUGCAAUUGAAUUUUUAUACAUAUGCUAUAUGAAAUCGUAUUAUUAUACAUACCAUGCCAUGUACUUAUGCCAAAGUUCGUUAAUAUUUCACAUAUUUUGUAGGCUUUAAAAUCGUUUGUACUUAAUUUUUUGUGUUCUAAUUUUUUAUUGCAAAUGAUGCAGGCAUUAAUACUGCAUUUUUAUUAGCUGUAGUAUCAAAAAAGCCAAAGUACUCAUGUAUUCGUUAAAUUGUGUAAUACUAUUUAAGAAUAAUUUUGAAAAUAAAUUGUAUUUUAACUAAAAACCGAAA
This is an RNA transcript of Anastrepha ludens (Mexican fruit fly), 2170 nucleotides long. RefSeq lists it as uncharacterized. The record is from RefSeq and is a predicted model, not a curated record. The transcript is spliced from 3 exons. NCBI's taxonomy places the organism in Eukaryota, Metazoa, Arthropoda, Insecta, Diptera, Tephritidae.